Molecule: long non-coding RNA, 654 nt
Organism: Leucoraja erinaceus (little skate)
Lineage: Eukaryota; Metazoa; Chordata; Chondrichthyes; Rajiformes; Rajidae
Exons: 2
Source: RefSeq, a predicted model, not a curated record
ACCACACCCCACUCCCAUCAAUCUCCAGACAAAGGGAACACAUUUUGUCUUGAUCUCGUAGCAGAGAGAAUGCUGAGAGACCAAGCAGCAGUGAAUGCAGCAAGUUUAUCUCCACAAACAGGAUAUGAUGCUAUGCUGAGUAAAAGAUGAAGCAGCUGAUUCAGCCAGUAUGCAGAUUAAGGAGCAGGACAUGUUGAUUCACGGAUCUCAGUAUCUUCCAGCUGCUCCUCCAAAAGUUGCUCCUCCACUCCUCCUCCAAGAGCUACUUUAGAGAGAUGCUUGCUCAGCCAAAAGGCCCACUUUGCAGAUGAGAUCCACACCGCUGGAGUAGGUUCCUAUUGGAUGUGAAGCAGGGCUUCCACAGAAUAUUUGUUUUCUUUUGUAACCUUAAUUUACUCUAGAAGUUGAUCAAUACACAAAUGCAAAAUUAUUAGCUCUGGUUAGCAAACAUAUCAUUCCUUAUAAAUCAUGAUUCACAUAAAACCUAAGCUGGCGGCCAGAAAGUAAAUUAACAUCAUGGUAUGACAUUAAACACAUAAGGAAUGUUAAUAAUGUAAUUAUAACCACAUAUGAGUCAUGGAAUAAUAACAAUCUGGUAAUUAUAUAACAAACAAGCAAAUUGAUUUGAACCUCAAUAAAAGGAAUAAAUUCAAA